Molecule: ribosomal RNA, 497 nt
Filed under: uncultured bacterium
Lineage: Bacteria
Description: partial 16S ribosomal RNA
Rfam family: Bacterial small subunit ribosomal RNA
Source: RNAcentral
GAUGAACGCUGGCGGCGUGCCUAAUACAUGCAAGUCGAGCGAACUGAUGAGGAGCUUGCUCCUCUGACGUUAGCGGCGGACGGGUGAGUAACACGUGGAUAACCUACCUAUAAGACUGGGAUAACUUCGGGAAACCGGAGCUAAUACCGGAUAAUAUAUUGAACCGCAUGGUUCAAUAGUGAAAGACGGUUUUGCUGUCACUUAUAGAUGGAUCCGUGCCGCAUUAGCUAGUUGGUAAGGUAACGGCUUACCAAGGCAACGAUGCGUAGCCGACCUGAGAGGGUGAUCGGCCACACUGGAACUGAGACACGGUCCAGACUCCUACGGGAGGCAGCAGUAGGGAAUCUUCCGCAAUGGGCGAAAGCCUGACGGAGCAACGCCGCGUGAGUGAUGAAGGUCUUCGGAUCGUAAAACUCUGUUAUUAGGGAAGAACAAAUGUGUAAGUAACUAUGCACGUCUUGACGGUACCUAAUCAGAAAGCCACGGCUAACUACGUG